AUCCGGCUGAUGAGUUGCAAAUAGGACGAAAUAUGCAUCUUGGAU
Molecule: non-coding RNA, 45 nt
Filed under: Schistosoma margrebowiei
Lineage: Eukaryota; Metazoa; Platyhelminthes; Trematoda; Strigeidida; Schistosomatidae
Source: RNAcentral